UGGCGAAAGGGUGAGUAACGCGCGGGCAAUCUGCCUUGAAGUUGGGAAUAGCCCGGGGAAACCUGGGAUAAUUCCGAAUGUGGUCGGUUCAGGCAUCUGAACCUAUCUAAAGCUGGGGACCGCAAGGCCUAGCGCUUCAAGAUGAGCCCACGUCCUAUCAGCUUGUUGGUGAGGUAACGGCUCACCAAGGCUUACGGGUAGCUGGUCUGAGAGGAUGGUCAGCCACACUGGGACUGAGACACUGCCCAGACUCCUACGGGAGGCUGCAGUCGAGAAUCAUUCGCAAUGGGCGCAAGCCUGACGAUGCGACGCCGCGUGCAGGAUGAAGGCCUUCGGGUUGUAAACUGCUGUGAUGGGGGAGCAACGGACGGAGUGUUAAUAACACUUCGUAGUGAUAGUACCCCAAGAGGAAGCCACGGCUAACUCUGUGCCAGCAGCCGCGGUAAUACAGAGGUGGCAAGCGUUGUUCGGAUUUACUGGGCGUAAAGGGUGCGUAGGCGGUCUCAUGUGUCGGAUGUGAAAUCCCACGGAUCAUCUGUGGAACUGCAUUCGAAACUAUGGGGCUUGAGUGUCGGAGAGGAGGGCGGAAUUCACGGUGUAGCGGUGAAAUGCGUUGAUAUCGUGAAGAACGCCGGAGGCGAAGGCGGCCCUCUGGACGACAACUGACGCUGAGGCACGAAAGAUGGGGGAGCAAACAGGAUUAGAUACCCUGGUAGUCCCAUCCGUAAACGGUGUGCACUUGGUGUAGGAGGAAUUAUCCCCUUCUGUGCCGGAGCUAACGCGUUAAGUGCACCGCCUGGGGAGUACGGUCGCAAGAUUAAAACUCAAAGAAAUUGACGGGGGCCCGCACAAGCGGUGGAGCAUGUGGCUUAAUUCGAUGCAACGCGAAGAACCUUACCUGGGCUUGACA
Molecule: ribosomal RNA, 910 nt
Filed under: uncultured bacterium
Lineage: Bacteria
Description: bacterial SSU rRNA
Rfam family: Bacterial small subunit ribosomal RNA
Source: RNAcentral